Molecule: ribosomal RNA, 1371 nt
Filed under: uncultured bacterium
Lineage: Bacteria
Description: bacterial SSU rRNA
Rfam family: Bacterial small subunit ribosomal RNA
Source: RNAcentral
GAUGAACGCCGGCGGCGUGCCUAAUACAUGCAAGUCGAGCGAACGGACGAGAAGCUUGCUUCUCUGAUGUUAGCGGCGGACGGGUGAGUAACACGUGGAUAACCUACCUAUAAGACUGGGAUAACUUCGGGAAACCGGAGCUAAUACCGGAUAAUAUUUUGAACCGCAUGGUUCAAAAGUGAAAGACGGUCUUGCUGUCACUUAUAGAUGGAUCCGCGCUGCAUUAGCUAGUUGGUAAGGUAACGGCUUACCAAGGCAACGAUGCAUAGCCGACCUGAGAGGGUGAUCGGCCACACUGGAACUGAGACACGGUCCAGACUCCUACGGGAGGCAGCAGUAGGGAAUCUUCCGCAAUGGGCGAAAGCCUGACGGAGCAACGCCGCGUGAGUGAUGAAGGUCUUCGGAUCGUAAAACUCUGUUAUUAGGGAAGAACAUAUGUGUAAGUAACUGUGCACAUCUUGACGGUACCUAAUCAGAAAGCCACGGCUAACUACGUGCCAGCAGCCGCGGUAAUACGUAGGUGGCAAGCGUUAUCCGGAAUUAUUGGGUGUAAAGCGCGCGUAGCGGUUUUUUAAGUCUGAUGUGAAAGCCCACGGCUCAACCGUGGAGGGUCAUUGGAAACUGGAAAACUUGAGUGCAGAAGAGGAAAGUGGAAUUCCAUGUGUAGCGGUGAAAUGCGCAGAGAUAUGGAGGAACACCAGUGGCGAAGGCGACUUUCUGGUCUGUAACUGACGCUGAUGUGCGAAAGCGUGGGGAUCAAACAGGAUUAGAUACCCCGGUAGUCCACGCCGUAAACGAUGAGUGCUAAGUGUUAGGGGGUUUCCGCCCCUUAGUGCUGCAGCUAACGCAUUAAGCACUCCGCCUGGGGAGUACGACCGCAAGGUUGAAACUCAAAGGAAUUGACGGGGACCCGCACAAGCGGUGGAGCAUGUGGUUUAAUUCGAAGCAACGCGAAGAACCUUACCAAAUCUUGACAUCCUUUGACAACUCUAGAGAUAGAGCUUUCCCCUUCGGGGGACAAAGUGACAGGUGGUGCAUGGUUGUCGUCAGCUCGUGUCGUGAGAUGUUGGGUUAAGUCCCGCAACGAGCGCAACCCUUAAGCUUAGUUGCCAUCAUUAAGUUGGGCACUCUAAGUUGACUGCCGGUGACAAACCGGAGGAAGGUGGGGAUGACGUCAAAUCAUCAUGCCCCUUAUGAUUUGGGCUACACACGUGCUACAAUGGACAAUACAAAGGGCAGCGAAACCGUGAGGUCAAGCAAAUCCCAUAAAGUUGUUCUCAGUUCGGAUUGUAGUCUGCAACUCGACUACAUGAAGCUGGAAUCGCUAGUAAUCGUAGAUCAGCAUGCUACGGUGAAUACGUUCCCGGGUCU